CAGGCUGCCCUUGGAUGUGGGGGGAGUCAGGUGCUGGGAGCUCAUGGUGGGCACCGGGGCGAUGGGAGCACUUGCCAGGGGCAGGGAGUGCAGAGGCGUGGAAGCUGCAGAAAACAAGGGCCAUGUCCCUCUCAAGAUGAAAGGGACCUGGUAGGCCUGCUACACAGUCUUGCAACGACCCUCAAAAGUUUCUGCAAAAUGCACAUUUCCAGGCCCUGCCCUAACCCAGCUGGGAGAUCCCUAAGUGCUGCCUGCUUGGCAUCUGUGACGGUGCCAAGGCAGGGACUGGGAGGGAAGCCGCGUGUCCCAGCCCUGCCUGCACCCAAGGAUCGAAGCCCCAGACACAUAGUGCCUGGCAGAGGGAGGAUGGGAUGAGGACCUUGGACCCACGUCUCCCUCCAGACCCACAACCAUGUCUAAAAGGAGAAGGGGGGAGCAGAAUCAUAUUAAUUUGGACCCAUGGGAUGAGUGUUUUAUUCAUGCUGUUUCCAGGAAGGGAUGUCAGAGCUGGACCAGUCGAAACCCUUGGAGGCUUUUUUUGCAGUUGGCCACAGGGGCGUUGGAGGCCUGCUUAUGGGUCCUCGAUGUCGAGAAACUCCUGCUUGGGGGGCGCCGCGCCGCGGUACCACGCACAGGAGCCGUCACUUCUCUUGAUGCAGGCGAAGAACUUGGCCUGGUGCCCGUUGAUGUUCUUCUCUGUGACCCAGUCCAUCCAGAGGCACUCGUCCGGGGAGGAGAUGUAGCACGGG
This 749-nucleotide long non-coding RNA is filed under the name Homo sapiens (human). RNAcentral's name for it is "HSALNT0391971". The record is from RNAcentral. Lineage: Eukaryota; Metazoa; Chordata; Mammalia; Primates; Hominidae.